This is a non-coding RNA of Corynebacterium sp. HMSC04H06, 58 nucleotides long. The record is from Rfam. Lineage: Bacteria; Bacillati; Actinomycetota; Actinomycetes; Mycobacteriales; Corynebacteriaceae.
AGAAGUUAUUUUCCACUCGGAUCGUUCGGCACGUACCUGCCGAUGGAGGAGACACCAU